Molecule: ribosomal RNA, 450 nt
Filed under: uncultured bacterium
Lineage: Bacteria
Description: partial 16S ribosomal RNA
Rfam family: Bacterial small subunit ribosomal RNA
Source: RNAcentral
GUGGGGAAUCUUCCGCAAUGGACGAAAGUCUGACGGAGCAACGCCGCGUGAGUGAUGAAGGUCUUCGGAUUGUAAAGCUCUGUUAAUCGGGACGAAAGAGCCUAGUGUGAAUAAUGCUAGGAAGUGACGGUACCGGAAUAGAAAGCCACGGCUAACUACGUGCCAGCAGCCGCGGUAAUACGUAGGUGGCAAGCGUUGUCCGGAAUUAUUGGGCGUAAAGCGCGCGCAGGCGGAUCUGCCAGUCUGUCUUAAAAGUUCGGGGCUUAACCCCGUGAUGGGAUGGAAACUACAGAUCUAGAGUAUCGGAGAGGAAAGUGGAAUUCAUAGUGUAGCGGUGAAAUGCGUAGAUAUUAGGAAGAACACCAGUGGCGAAGGCGACUUUCUGGACGAAAACUGACGCUGAGGCGCGAAAGCCAGGGGAGCGAACGGGAUUAGAAACCCGGGUAGUCC